RNAcentral lists this ribosomal RNA (497 nucleotides) under uncultured bacterium. RNAcentral's name for it is "partial 16S ribosomal RNA". It matches the Rfam family "Bacterial small subunit ribosomal RNA", at positions 28 to 507 of the family's 1533-position model. The record is from RNAcentral.
GAUGAACGCUGGCGGCGUGCUUAAUACAUGCAAGUCGAGCGAACAGACGAGGCUCUUGCGCCUCUGUCGUUUGCCGCGGGCGUGUGUGUCACGCGUGUAUCAUCUACCUAUCUUUCUGGGAUCUCCACGGAACUCCGGAGCUUAUAGCAGAUGAGCUAUUGAUGCGCGGUGUUCGUUGGAGAGAUACGGUUGUUCUGUCUCUUCUAGCGGCAUCGCCGCCGCAUUAGCUAGUUGGUAAGGAAACGGCUUACCAAGGCAAGGAUGCGUAGCCGACCUGAGAGGGUGAUCGGCCACACUGGAACUGAGACACGGUCCAGACUCCUACGGGAGGCAGCAGUAGGGAAUCUUCCGCAAUGGGCGAGAGCCUGACGGAGCAACGCCGCGUGAGUGAUGAAGGUCUUCGGAUCGUAAAACUCUGUUAUUAGGGAAGAACAAAUGUGUAAGUAACUAUGCACGUCUUGACGGUACCUAAUCAGAAAGCCACGGCUAACUACGUG